Long non-coding RNA from Daphnia pulex (common water flea), 508 nucleotides. RefSeq lists it as uncharacterized. The record is from RefSeq and is a predicted model, not a curated record. NCBI's taxonomy places the organism in Eukaryota, Metazoa, Arthropoda, Branchiopoda, Diplostraca, Daphniidae. The transcript has 3 exons.
AGGUCAGAACAUCCUUCGCCCACAUCUUUGUAAAAAUUCCAAGUUGCUUCUUCGUAACCCAAGCCACUUGAGAAGUCUAGAUGUUUGGGCUAUAACUACAGGUGUAAUUGAUUGGGAGAGAAGAUGGAAUCAUAUGCAGCAACACUUUGGGCAUCAUGUAAUCACUUAAAUUGCUGAUUCUUCAUUUUGUUUCAAAACCACAUCUUGGUGGCUUGGGGAAUCUGUUUCCCAUAUUGAACUAGUGUGACUGAUGCUCAACUCAUAACCUUUGAAAGCCAAGCGAAUGAGAAAAUCAGGGAAGCUGUCUCUGUGGAAGUAGAAGUAUACGAAGGAGAUGCGAUUUCCGACUAGGUAAGAAUUUAACUUCAAUCGCCAGAAAGUUUCCAUUUAAGAAAACCGUAAUUUUGUUCGUAGGUCCGUUAUAGAGGUCUUCCCGAUGGCUACGUGGGUCCUGUUCACGUCAUAACUAUUUUAGGUGUAGAUAGUAACAUGCGUUGUGGAACUCACG